UCGGAUAUGGUGUAACGGCUAACAUUGCCGCCUCUCAUAAUUCCUGUGAAUGGGUCUGCGCGGCAGCUUGGGGUUCGAUUCCCCGUAUCCGAA
Molecule: transfer RNA, 93 nt
Filed under: Armillaria gallica
Lineage: Eukaryota; Fungi; Basidiomycota; Agaricomycetes; Agaricales; Physalacriaceae
Description: tRNA-Glu
Source: RNAcentral